RNAcentral lists this ribosomal RNA (484 nucleotides) under uncultured bacterium. RNAcentral describes it as "partial 16S ribosomal RNA". It matches the Rfam family "Bacterial small subunit ribosomal RNA", at positions 30 to 507 of the family's 1533-position model. The record is from RNAcentral.
AUUGAACGCUGGCGGCAUGCCUAACACAUGCAAGUCGAGCGGAUGAAGGGAGCUUGCUCCUGGAUUCAGCGGCGGACGGGGGAGUAAUGCCUAGGAAUCUGCCUGGUAGUGGGGGAUAACGUCCGGAAACGGGCGCUAAUACCACAUACGUCCUGAUGGAGAAAGUGGGUGAUCUUCGGACCUCACGCUAUCAGAUGAGCAUAGGUCGGAUUAGCUAGUUGGUGGGGUAAAGGCCUACCAAGGCGACGAUCCGUAACUGGUCUGAGAGGAUGAUCAGUCACACUGGAACUGAGACACGGUCCAGACUCCUACGGGAGGCAGCAGUGGGGAAUAUUGGACAAUGGGCGAAAGCCUGAUACAGCCAUGCCGCGUGUGUGAAGAAGGUCUUCGGAUUGUAAAGCACUUUAAGUUGGGAGGAAGGGCAGUAAGUUAAUACCUUGCUGUUUUGACGUUACCAACAGAAUAAGCACCGGCUAACUUCGUG